Molecule: ribosomal RNA, 729 nt
Filed under: uncultured Candidatus Sumerlaeota bacterium
Lineage: Bacteria; Candidatus Sumerlaeota
Description: bacterial SSU rRNA
Rfam family: Bacterial small subunit ribosomal RNA
Source: RNAcentral
CGAGAAAGCGGGCUUCGGCCCGUGAUUAAAGUGGCGAACUGGUGAGUAACAGGUGGAUAACGUGCCCUGAAGUGGGGAAUAACUCCGGGAAACCGAAGUUAAUACCGCAUACGGCCGGAGGAGCUAAGGUUCUUUCGGUUAAAGGCUUCGGCCGCUCCGGGAUCGGUCCGCCCCCGAUUAGCUUGUUGGUGGGGUAACGGCCUACCAAGGCAACGAUCGGUAGCUGGUCUGAGAGGAUGGUCAGCCACACUGGGACUGAGAUACGGCCCAGACUCCUACGGGGGGCAGCAGUCUAGAGGCUUCGGCAAUGGACGAAAGUCUGACCGAGCGACGCCGCGUGUGGGAUUGAAGGCGCUUCGCGUCGUAAACCACUGUCCUGGGGGAAGAAUGCCUCGAUGGUGAAUCGAGGAGUGACGGUACCUCAGAAGAAAGCCCCGGCUAACUCCGUGCCAGCAGCCGCGGUAAUACGGAGGGGGCCAGCGUUGUUCGGAUUUACUGGGCGUAAAGGGAGCGCAGGCGGCUCGGCAAGUCUGGUGUGAAAUCUUUACCGCUUACCGGAAAGAGGUCAUCGGAAACUGCCGAGCUUGAGUCAGGUAGAGGCAAGCGGAAUUCCUGGUGUAGCGGUGGAAUGUGUAGAUAUCAGGAAGAACAUCGGUGGCGAAGGCGGCUUGCUGGGCCUGUUCUGACGCUGAGGCUCGAAAGCGUGGGGAGCGAACGGGAUUAGAUACC